Molecule: long non-coding RNA, 1012 nt
Filed under: Monodelphis domestica (gray short-tailed opossum)
Lineage: Eukaryota; Metazoa; Chordata; Mammalia; Didelphimorphia; Didelphidae
Description: lncRNA (ENSMODG00000030183.2)
Source: RNAcentral
AAAGGCAUUAUUAUUGUACAAAUCCCAGGCAUAGGGAGGAAAUCACAGUAUGAGUGAAAAAUGGGUUGGUAAGAAAAGGGGCACUGCAGAACUUGGGCCAAGGAACUCAGAUGCUGUGUGUUCAGAGAGAUCAAAGGAAUCUGAAGGAAAUUACUAAUCCCAAUCAGGUGGAAAUGAGUGAAUCUGUGCUCCAUAAAUAUAUAGAAAUAUACCUGCUGUUCAUAGAAAAUCUCUUGGCAAAAAGAUCAAAGGACUUCAGAGAUAUUUUCCAUGACAUGCUCAUGAGAUUGAAUGGCGUGGGGACAGGUCUUCUCUUAUCCCUGUUGUCCAGUGAGGAAGUUGAAGAUACAGAGACAGAACAUGAGGUCCUCAAGCUUUUCAUGGAUGAAAUGAGAGGAUGGGGUGGUUCGUUGCUGCUCUCUAAACCUGGUCCAAGGAACCCUUCCCUUAUUUUUCAAAUUCAGGCAGUGAGGACCAUCACUAGUAAGUGGCCAAAGUGGGACUCAAAUUCAGAUCUUCUGCCUUCAAGACCACUCUUCUUUCACCCCAGAAAAUAAGGACUCUGAAUCAGGAAAGGCAUGUUUCCUGCCUUGGUGGUAGCCAUAAGUCACCAGAGCUUCUCGACAACACGUGGGAGAUCAAUUGUUCGUUGACUCUGUUUUCAUUGUUUGUUUAAUUUUGUAACUAAACUAGUCUCCAAGGAGUAAAUUUUCUAGUCCACCAUAUGUAUCAUAUAGUUAAUUAUAACAGAUUCCCUCACUUAUCCAUGGAUCCUGAACAUAAGGAAGGCUCUCGUAUACAUAUGGAGAACAACACUGCUCUUACGGUCCCCUCUCCAUAAUAUCUCCUGUAGCCUUUGCACAGUGGACAUUAAUGACUUCUUUGGGGCCCCUUCUGGUUUCACCAGAUGAACAAAAAAAAUGAAAAUAAGCAUCUGUCAUGUUUUAACUUUUAAAAAACUCAAUCUAUCAAACCUCCCCCAAUUUGAAGGAGUAUUUGGCUUGGGGAGAGG